AAUACUUAGAUUUUUCCAAGAUAGGACAGACACUGUAUGUUCUGUCCUCAGGAGUGCCCAAUCAAUUUUUCUCUCAUUAAAUGGGGAUUUGGACUAUACAGCCUCUGUUGUCAUCUUUAAAUUCUAUAACCUUUUUAGGAAGAAACAUCCUUAGAAAUCAUCUACGUCUUACCCUGUCAAGGGGAGGGGCUAUAACUUGUUUCUUUGUGACUAACUUGCAUAUGGUAGGAAACCAAGGGCCACAAUAGAUAAGCAACUCACAUAAGGGGCCAAACAUAGAGCUAAAACCCAGAUUAUUUUAUUCCCAAAUCCAGUGUUCUUUACAUUCUGUAAUUCUAAGGUUCUCAUCUGGGCUUCUGAAAACCUUUUUUGAAACUAAAGAAAAUUCUGAUUUCAUCCUAUGUCCCUGACACCUUCAAAAAGGCUCCUUAACACAAGGUGGGACCACCAAGCCAUUUCUAAAGCUGCUUCUGGUGGUGCCUUCUUCCCCCCACGGACAAGAUACACAACCUAGCUCCAGAGAUAAGGCUAGGGAGAAGUUCUGCCUAAUAAAGAAAUUUCAUGGAUCUUUAAGGAAAGAUUAAAUCAAGUCUUUCUUCCUACCAAGGUAGAAAUACACUUCAAAGAACAAACAAGUGAGAAGGAGUGAAGAGUGAAAUUCCAAAAUCACUCUAGUUUAUUUACAUAAUAUAGUAUUUGAUUGCAUUCUUUUGUACUGUUCCCUACUUUUAUAAUGUGUAAAAUGUUUCACCAUGUUCCAAUUAAUGGUUGAGCUUUAAAUGAAAAUGUUCUGGAUCUUUCAUUUACUGGUAUCAACCACAAUGUCAAGACCCCCAAGAAAUACUUGAUCUAAACUGGGAGAGUCCAACACAAUUUUUUUUUUAAUGGAUUUGCCACCUUAAGAAACUUCAAGUGUAUCUUUUUGUUGGCAAGAAAAUUAUUUCCCAGGAGGUAAUCAGAUUUCCCUCCCCGCCCCUGCUCUUUCCACCAACCCUCCUCCUAACAUACACAUAGAGAGUUACACAUUUCAUGAAACUGUUUUGAGGCCAAGUUCACAGCAAGCAGAGUCUUAACAUUUUCAGAAAUGAUCUGUCCUUCAUAUCUGCAUAAGCUAGGAUCCUUGGCAAUGGGGAAAAGGUGCCAUUUGCUUCUCUGAAGUAACUUGGGGUCUGAAUUGGUUAAGAAGCCAAAGAGAAAAGGAAAGCAUUUCCUUGUCUUCCCUAUUAAUGGUUUGUUGCAAAGGGAUAAACUUCUCAAGAACCAAAGGUGAGGAAAUGUGUUGGUCAUCACUGGAUUCUUGCUGGAAACAGAAGGCAGGUGAAAUCUUCAGGAAUCACUUCACACUCCAAAAACACUAUUCUCAGCAAUGAUAAUAGGCUAAUCACACCACUGAUCAAAUUAUUUCAGCUCAGUUCUUUAUUUUGCAGUUAGAGAGCAAAUGAAAUUAGAAACUGCUUUGGCACAGGUUAAAGGUGGCUCCCAUGUACUCACUAGUUUUCCUCAGGAUUAUCAAUACUCCUUACCAAAAUGUACUUUUACUUAGUUACCAUUUAAAGUUGCCACCAAUGUAAAUGACAGGGGGUAGGGGUGGGUGUGGGUGUGGGGAACCUGAGCAUACACAUAAUUUUUAAAUCUUUUAGAUGUAAUGCAAUCAACCAUAUCUAAUAUUCUUUCAGAAAACAGAAGAAACACAAAACAUGCUCAAAGAUCAAGAAAUCAAGUUAUGCUUUUCAUAAGGCACCACCAAUUACCCUGAUAAAUUGUAAAUAAAUAUGUAAGGGAAUAAUCAAUAGGGAGUCUUGAGGUUUACAAGACAUUCCUGUUUAGACCACUUGGAGUACUGCAAAAGAAAAAACAAGCAAGAUACAGUUUGAAUAACCCAUCAUAUCCUUGCCCAGUGCACAUCAUUUGUUGCAUAGUGGUGACUGGAUAUGAUCCAGGACAAGAGAAGACCAAAAUUCAAAACAAUACAUUAACAUCCAUUCUUCCUCAUACUACAGUAUGAGAUACCACUUGGGACAUUCAUAUCCAAAGAAGUAAUGGUAUGAUUUUUUAAAAAAGGAAUUUCAAAAGGAGUAUUUAAGGACCUGCUAUAAAAGCACCUUCUACACACACGAAGCUAAUCCACAUGUGAAACUUUAUCAAAUCUGGUUAUAUGUGGGACUUCAACAGCUCAAAUUUUUCCACCAUUUACACUUUUCAAAUCCCACUCCAAACUGUCACUUUCUCCCUCAAAAAGUGGAUUAUCCCAUCCUUUGAAAGAGAGGCUUUCUCAGUUUUUCUUUUCAUUCUCCUACUGUAAGUGCUGGUUGAUAUUCACACAAAUGUACUACAGAAUUAAAAUACUGACAAGCAAGUAGUUUCUUUACAUGCACUGAAUUGCAUCCAGAAUCCAAAAAUUAAGCAGCACAAAAAGACAUUUUUUGGACACCUACUAACGACAAAAGUAGAGAAGAACAGAAGUAAAGCACAGGUAAAAUCAUGCUAAUCUUACAGGUCAGCCUUUGUCCUUUCUUUAAAAAAAAAAAAA
Macaca fascicularis (crab-eating macaque) is the source of this 2530-nucleotide long non-coding RNA. The record is from Ensembl. NCBI's taxonomy places the organism in Eukaryota, Metazoa, Chordata, Mammalia, Primates, Cercopithecidae.